This 497-nucleotide ribosomal RNA is filed under the name uncultured bacterium. Its description in RNAcentral is "partial 16S ribosomal RNA". It matches the Rfam family "Bacterial small subunit ribosomal RNA", at positions 28 to 507 of the family's 1533-position model. The record is from RNAcentral.
GAUGAACGCUGGCGGCGUGCCUAAUACAUGCAAGUCGAGCGAACAGACGAGGAGCUUGCUCCUUUGACGUUAGCGGCGGACGGGUGAGUAACACGUGGAUAACCUACCUAUAAGACUGGGAUAACUUCGGGAAACCGGAGCUAAUACCGGAUAACAUGUUGAACCGCAUGGUUCAACAGUGAAAGACGGUCUUGCUGUCACUUAUAGAUGAAUCCGCGCCGCAUUAGCUAGUUGGUAAGGUAACGGCUUACCAAGGCAACGAUGCGUAGCCGACCUGAGAGGGUGAUCGGCCACACUGGAACUGAGACACGGUCCAGACUCCUACGGGAGGCAGCAGUAGGGAAUCUUCCGCAAUGGGCGAAAGCCUGACGGAGCAACGCCGCGUGAGUGAAGAAGGUCUUCGGAUCGUAAAACUCUGUUAUUAGGGAAGAACAAAUGUGUAAGUAACUAUGCACGUCUUGACGGUACCUAAUCAGAAAGCCACGGCUAACUACGUG